Molecule: long non-coding RNA, 813 nt
Organism: Fundulus heteroclitus (mummichog)
Lineage: Eukaryota; Metazoa; Chordata; Actinopteri; Cyprinodontiformes; Fundulidae
Exons: 3
Source: RefSeq, a predicted model, not a curated record
GUGUUUUCACAUGUCUGGGGUGCUUCUGGUGGCUGGGCAGUAGUCACAUGCCCAUGUGCUGUGGUGUAUGCUGUGAAAUUUAAAUUUAGAGCUGAAAGCCCAAGGGACUUCAUUGACCUCUUAUUAUCAAUGAAGCACUUCCCCAACAUCACACUUUAUGACUUUGCACGAGGGUUGGCAACACAUGCCAAUACCAGGCUGCCAGGAACAUUCAGACCACACGAUGGACGACUGCUGGAGCCCACCCUGUCAAAUAUUUGUCUUGCCAUUUCAGGGCAAGUCAAAGCCAAUUUGUCGUGGCUAUCCCAGAAAAAGGAGGUUCCUGAUUUUAAUGACCACCCUAUCACUGGGUCAUCAGAGCGUUAUGCUCUGUAUGACUGAUUUCAUGAAGCCAAUACUAAAGAUGCCAGAGAUGUAUUGCGAAGGGUCGAUCUCGCCCCAGAAUUAUGUGACUGGCUGAACAGUCAAUGUGCCGAACAGCUGUUCUCGGGGAUGAGGAAGAAUAACUAUUUUUUAAAUAUGAUGACUCCUUCUUCUCACGUGUUUUUGAUGAGGAAUAUAUUACAUCACUACAACACAGCCAAGAAUUCGGCCACCAUAGAAAAUAUGAAAAAGAUGCUUGGUGUGGGGGUCGACAUCGGAUUUAAUUCUUAUGGUCAGACAGUGCUGGCCGGAAUUAAUGAGGCCCAAGACCCCACCACAACCGCAGAUGAGGCCCAAGAUCCUGCAAUAGCCACAGAUGAGGCCCAAGACCCCACCACAACCACAGAUGAGGCCCAAGAUUCUGCCAUGGCCACAGAUCAAGUACCAAAC